Molecule: ribosomal RNA, 1200 nt
Filed under: uncultured organism
Description: bacterial SSU rRNA
Rfam family: Bacterial small subunit ribosomal RNA
Source: RNAcentral
CACGGGUGAGUAACGCGUAUGGAACCUACCUGAAACAGGGGGAUAGCUUCCGGAAACGGGGAUUAAUACCCCAUACGAUUCAUUUGUGGCCUCACAAAUGGAUAAAAGCUACGGCGGUUUCAGAUGGUCAUGCGUACCAUUAGUUAGUUGGUGAGGUAAAGGCUCACCAAGGCGAUGAUGGUUAGGGGUCCUGAGAGGGUAGUCCCCCACACUGGUACUGAGACACGGACCAGACUCCUACGGGAGGCAGCAGUGAGGAAUAUUGGUCAAUGGGCGCUAGCCUGAACCAGCCAUGCCGCGUGCAGGAAGACGGCCCUACGGGUUGUAAACUGCUUUUCUGCAGGAAGAAUAUAUAGUCUUAGGGCUAUAUUGACGGUACUGCAGGAAUAAGCAUCGGCUAACUCCAUGCCAGCAGCCGCGGUAAUACGGAGGAUGCAAGCGUUAUCCGGAUUCAUUGGGUUUAAAGGGUGCGCAGGCUGUAAAGCAAGUCAGUGGUGAAAGCCCUGGGCUUAACUCAGGGAUUGCCAUUGAAACUGUUUUACUAGAGUGUAGUAGAGGACGGCGGAAUGAGUUGUGUAGCGGUGAAAUGCAUAGAUAUAACUCAGAACACCUAUUGCGUAGGCAGCUGUCUAUACUACAACUGACGCUGAGGCACGAAAGCGUGGGGAGCGAACAGGAUUAGAUACCCUGGUAGUCCACGCUGUAAACGAUGAUCACUCGUUGUUGGCUACUUAGUAGUCAGUGACCAAGGGAAACCGAUAAGUGAUCCACCUGGGGAGUACGUCGGCAACGAUGAAACUCAAAGGAAUUGACGGGGGCCCGCACAAGCGGAGGAACAUGUGGUUUAAUUGGAUGAUACGCGAGGAACCUUACCUGGGAUUAAUUGCUGGCUGCAUUGGAGGGAAACGUUCAUUUCGUACGGGACCGCCAGCAAGGUGCUGCAUGGUUGUCGUCAGCUCGUGCCUUGAGGUGUCGGGUUAAGUCCCACAACGAGCGCAACCCCUAUCGCUAGUUGCCAGCAUGUAAUGGUGGGGACUCUAGCGAGACUGCCGGUGUAAACCGGAGGAAGGUGGGGAUGACGUCAAAUCAGCACGGCCCUUACGUCCAGGGCUACACACGUGUUACAAUGGCCGGUACAAAGAGCAGCCACCUGGCGACAGGGCGCUAAUCUCUAAAAGCCGGUCUCAGUUCGGAUCGAAG